RNAcentral lists this ribosomal RNA (454 nucleotides) under uncultured organism. RNAcentral's name for it is "bacterial SSU rRNA". It matches the Rfam family "Bacterial small subunit ribosomal RNA", at positions 346 to 794 of the family's 1533-position model. The record is from RNAcentral.
GUGCAGCAGUCGAGAAUUUUCUCAAUGGGCGAAAGCCUGAAGGAGCGACGCCGCGUGGAGGAUGAAGGCUUUCGGGUCGUAAACUCCUGUCAUUUGAGAACAAGCGUAGCCAAAUAACUACUGGCUACUUGAUAGUAUCAGAAGAGGAAGGGACGGCUAACUCUGUGCCAGCAGCCGCGGUAAUACAGAGGUCCCAGGCGUUGUUCGGAUUCAUUGGGCGUAAAGGGUGCGUAGGUGGCGCCGUAAGUGGGGUGUGAAAUUUCGGAGCUUAACUCCGAAACUGCAUUCCAUACUGCGGUGCUUGAGGACUGGAGAGGAGACUGGAAUUCAUGGUGUAGCAGUGAAAUGCGUAGAGAUCAUGAGGAAGACCAGUGGCGAAGGCGGGUCUCUGGACAGUUCCUGACACUGAGGCACGAAGGCUAGGGGAGCGAACGGGAUUAGAUACCCGGGUAGU